Molecule: non-coding RNA, 107 nt
Organism: Acanthosepion pharaonis
Lineage: Eukaryota; Metazoa; Mollusca; Cephalopoda; Sepiida; Sepiidae
Source: the annotation of a GenBank genome assembly
UACAGCCAUAUCAUGUUGAAACGAUCCCGUACGAUCACGAAAGUUAAGCAACGUCGAGCCUGGUCUGUACCUAGAUGGGUAGCCGCUUGGGAAUACCAAGUACUGUA